RNAcentral lists this ribosomal RNA (349 nucleotides) under Darevskia valentini. Its description in RNAcentral is "partial 12S ribosomal RNA". The record is from RNAcentral. Lineage: Eukaryota; Metazoa; Chordata; Lepidosauria; Squamata; Lacertidae.
ACUACAAGUGAAAAACUUAAAACUCAAAGGACUUGACGGUGUCCCAUAUCGACCUAGAGGAGCCUGUCCUAUAAUCGAUACCCCCCGCUCCACCCGACCCCAACUAGCACACAUCAGCCUAUAUACCGCCGUCGAUCAGCCUACCCUAUGAAAGUCCAACAGUAGACACAAUAGCCCCACCGCUAAUACGUCAGGUCAAGGUGUAGCAAAUGUUGUGGAAGAGAUUGGCUACAUUUUUUAUUAUAAAAAAUACGAAAUAUACCAUGAAACAGUAUAUGAAGGUGAAUUUAGUAGUAAAAUAAACAAGAGUGUUUAUUUUAACAACGCUCUGGGACGCGUACACACCGCC